RNAcentral lists this ribosomal RNA (1627 nucleotides) under Triticum aestivum (bread wheat). RNAcentral's name for it is "partial small subunit ribosomal RNA". The record is from RNAcentral. Lineage: Eukaryota; Viridiplantae; Streptophyta; Magnoliopsida; Poales; Poaceae.
GAAGAGAAGAACACCGAGGCACCGACCGGUCCAAGUCCAACCCAGCCGUCCCCUCCGAUCCGGGGGACUCCUCCCCAUUCCCAACUCCUAAACCCAUCGCCGCCACAGGCACCAUCUCCCCCGGCCUCAGCAGCCGCCAUGGCCGACGGCGCCAACCCAAACCCAACAUCCACACCCAGGCAGAAGGCAGUCCCGGACUGGCUCAACAGCCCGAUCUGGUCCGCCCCUGCCCCUAGCCCGCGCCACCGCUCCCCUCCCCGCGCCCCCUCCCCUCCCCCACCUCCCCCUCCCAAGCCGCAGCACGAUCCGACCCCGCCGCCCCCUCGUCAACCCGCGCGGCGCGACGGUGCAAGCUCUGACUCCGACUCCGACAGCGGCGGCGGUGACGAGGGCGCGGCCACCUCGUCUCGGACCCACCUCGUCGCCGAGUUCAAAGCGGCGCUGGAAAGGAAGGUGGUGGAUCUGGCGGAGCUGCGGAGGCUCGCGUGCCAGGGCGUGCCUGACGACCCCGCCGUGCGGCCUGUUGUCUGGAAGCUUCUCUUGGGGUACUUGCCAAUGGAUCAUGCUCUGUGGGCGUACGAACUGGAAAAAAAGCGGUCCCAGUACAGUGCUUUCAAAGACGAGCUUUUGGUUAACCCUUCAGAAGUUACCCGAAGAAUGGAAAUGACUAUUUCAAAAAGGAAGGAACAUAAUUCUGAAGGAACUGGAUUUCUCCCAAGGGCGGAAAUCGUCCAGGACGAACAUCCUCUAAGCCUUGGGAAAACUAGUGUUUGGAACCAACACUUCCAGGAAUCUGAAACUGUAGAGCAGAUUGAUAGAGAUGUUAAGCGUACUCAUCCUGAGAUGCAGUUUUUCAAUGGCGGUUCUUCUGAUGCCUUGUCUAAUCAGGAGUCAUUGAAGCGAAUACUUACCAUCUUUGCAAAAUUAAACCCGGGUAUAAGGUAUGUACAAGGAAUGAAUGAAGUUUUGGCACCUCUCUACUAUGUCUUCAAGAAUGAUCCAGACCAAAGUAAUUCUGCUUCAGCAGAGUCAGAUGCUUUUUUCUGUUUUGUUGAGGUGCUAAGUGGAUUUCGAGAUAACUUUUGCAAGCAGCUUGACAACAGUGUUGUUGGUAUACGCUCCAGAAUCAGUAAACUAUCCCAGCUCCUGAAAAGGCAUGAUGAAGAGCUCUGGCGGCAUUUAGAGGUCGUAACCAAGGUUAACCCACAGUUCUAUGCGUUCAGAUGGAUCACCCUGCUAUUGACACAGGAGUUUAAGUUCCGUGACUGCAUCCACCUGUGGGAUGCGUUAUUAGGUGAUCCAGAGGGGCCCCAGGCCACCUUGUUAAGGAUCUGCUGUGCAAUGCUAAUUCUUGUUCGAAGACGGCUCUUGGCUGGCGACUUCACUGCAAACCUCAAGCUUCUCCAGAAUUACCCACCCACAAACAUUGACCACUUGUUGCAUAUUGCUAAUAAAUUGCGUGGGCUAGUUCCCUGCUGAAUGAUUUGUUCUUUUUUUUCCAAUGUUGUUUUUAUGGUAGUCCGCUGUCCAGAGAUGAUGCAUUAAAUCUGUAAAUGAAUAUCCAUACGCUCUUUUUGACCCAUUGUUUAUCGUGUAAUGUAUGCCUGUUAAAGCUUGCUGUUCUUUU